Molecule: ribosomal RNA, 401 nt
Filed under: uncultured bacterium
Lineage: Bacteria
Description: bacterial SSU rRNA
Rfam family: Bacterial small subunit ribosomal RNA
Source: RNAcentral
AUUUGAGAUGGGCGAAGCCUGACCGCAACGCCGCGUGGGUGAUGUAGGCCUUCGGGUCGUAAAGCCCUGUCAGCAGGGAAGAAACUCCGGGGAGCGAAUAGGUCUCCGGAUUGACGGUACCUGCGGAGGAAGCACCGGCUAACUCCGUGCCAGCAGCCGCGGUAAAACGGAGGGUGCAAGCGUUGUUCGGAAUUACUGGGCGUAAAGCGCGUGCAGGUGGUCUUCUAAGUUCUGUGUGAAAUCCCCCGGCUUAACCGGGGAACGGCGCGGAAUACUGGAAGACUUGAAUACGGGAGAAGUGGGCGGAAUUCCCAGUGUAGAGGUGAAAUUCGUAGAUAUUGGGAGGAACACCGGCGGCGAAAGCGGCUCACUAGACCGAUAUUGACACUCAUACGCGAGAG